Molecule: long non-coding RNA, 219 nt
Filed under: Olea europaea (common olive)
Lineage: Eukaryota; Viridiplantae; Streptophyta; Magnoliopsida; Lamiales; Oleaceae
Description: long non-coding RNA (OEUR_LNC007714)
Source: RNAcentral
UGCUCAGGGAGGUAAAUCGCAGGAUGUGCCCUUGUUGGUUCCCAGGUUCCUACAUGGCUUUUACUCCUUCCCCAAAGGGAGCCUCCUCCAUGGUGAUUAAUCCACCAAUAAUUCCUCCUUUAUUGGAUCAAAGGUUCCCACCAGGAAUCGAACUCCCCACGCUUGGUUUCAGAGCCCCCCAAUGUGAUUGUUCUGCCAACUUGGAUGUGCCCUGGGGGG